Molecule: long non-coding RNA, 1568 nt
Organism: Heterocephalus glaber (naked mole-rat)
Lineage: Eukaryota; Metazoa; Chordata; Mammalia; Rodentia; Bathyergidae
Source: Ensembl
GCACAACCCUGGGUCUCCACUUUCCAUCCACAGGGCGGAACAUCCCCACCUUGCAGGGUUUCAAUGGAAGCAAGUGUGUAGACUGUAGAGGGCAUAAACAUCCAGGAGGUUCUGAAACUGCUGCUCUGACUGGAAGCCAGCACUGGGGUCCCGCCCUGACUCCAUAUCAGCCUGCCCAAGAAAGGCUGACAGCCCACCUGGCUCCGCUUCCCUACUUAGCCCAAGGGGAGGCGGAGACCCAGAGAGCAGGGUCACUGGCUGGAUGUCACACAGCAGCACUUAUUCCCAGUGAGUAGCCCAGCCCUGAUCUUGCUCAACACGGCGCUGUUUCCCACCAACUUGGAUGCAGCCUCAGAACCCUUCUGGACACAGCCUUCCAGGGUGGCCCUGAGAUGAACUGGCCACCGCCUGUCUUCGUCAGAAGCCUGCAGUGGGCCUAAGGACUCGGGGCCAAGGAGGGCCUGGGUGUGUGCAUGUGUGCUCGUGUGUGUUCUGGUUUUGUUUUGGUGUUUUGAGACAAGGUCUCACUAUGUAGUCCAGGCUGGCCCUGCACUUGCGGUGAUCCUGUCUCAGCCUCCCAAGUGCUGGGAUUACAGGCAUGUGCUACCACACUCAGCCCAAGGAAGGCUUUGAUCCUGCUCUUCCUCUCCAUCCCUUGCUCUGGCCUCAGCCCAACCUCCUCCUGGCAUCAGCUGAGGCACCCACGUGUGCCCAGGAAUGCCCUUGCUCAAUAGUCACGCACAGAGGACAAGUCACAUGGAGGGGGCUUUCUGUCACCCCAGGCUUUCAGCCUCCAGCCUGCUGCCAGGGCUUCUGGGGUGUAAGGCAAGGUGCCUGGGUCCCCCAUCCCCAUCAGCCUGGCUGACCCCAGGGACCUCACCCCUCCUGGCCUCUUCUCCUUUCCCCUGGGAACCCAGCCGAGCUGAGCCCCAGGGCUGUGGGUUCCAACACUGGAGGUGGGACCGCAAUUGCUCUUGAGGGACUGGCGGCUGCCCACGCUGGCAGGAGCCCCUCUCUGCCUGUUGAGCUUGCUCUGUGAGGACAGAAGGAAAAAAUGUGUUUUCCUGAGUCUAGGCAGCUGGCGCCAUGGAGCCUCCUCACUGCUGGACGGCAGCAAGGCAGGAAGAACCAGCAGCAGCAGCCUGGGGUCCACCCCAGUUCUGCCACCCACUCACUCACUGUAUCUUCAGGCAUGUCACUCUCCCUCUCUGAGCCUCAGUUUCCCAACAUGCCAAACCUCUUCCGAGCUUAAAGCACCUCCCAGCAAGGAUAAUCGCUGAGUCUAGAUUGGGAAAUUUUGGCCCCAGUGAGGGCCAAGACCACCAGUGGAGGGGAGGCCCUGGAGGAAGGGAAAGGAAAUCAGGGCAGGCUUCCUGGAGGCGAGGGCAUGAGAACACAAAACACAAACACAGGGACUGUCCCCCGUCCACAGGGCUGCUUCCUCUUCCAGCUGGACCAGGGCCACAGCACCUCCCCACUGGCUCUGGUCUCACCUGCUCCACCUCCAAACCCCAGAGCUCUCAGAGGGCUGGUGACUGACCAGACCUACACAGCUGUUUCUAAACCUC